UACGAAGGGGGCUAGCGUUGUUCGGAAUUACUGGGCGUAAAGCGCGCGCAGGCGGUCUUCCAAGUCAGUGGUGAAAGCCUGGAGCUCAACUCCAGAACUGCCAUUGAAACUGUUAGACUUGAGUACGAGAGAGGUGAGUGGAAUUCCCAGUGUAGAGGUGAAAUUCGUAGAUAUUGGGAAGAACACCAGUGGCGAAGGCGGACUCACUGGCUCGUAACUGACGCUGAGGCGCGAAAAGCUAGGGGAGCAAACA
This 253-nucleotide ribosomal RNA is filed under the name uncultured bacterium. RNAcentral describes it as "partial 16S ribosomal RNA". It matches the Rfam family "Bacterial small subunit ribosomal RNA", at positions 524 to 774 of the family's 1533-position model. The record is from RNAcentral.